RNAcentral lists this unclassified non-coding RNA (223 nucleotides) under Hevea brasiliensis (rubber tree). The record is from RNAcentral. Lineage: Eukaryota; Viridiplantae; Streptophyta; Magnoliopsida; Malpighiales; Euphorbiaceae.
AGGCCUCUACGUCCUUGACAAACAAGUGCCAAUAUCUCUUGUAUGUUCCAGUAUUUUAACUCUUAUUCAAGUCCAUUGUCAAUUGGGACAUUCGUCUUUAUCUGUCUUGAAGAAGUUAUGUCCACAGUUUCAGUCUUUGUCAGUUUUAAAUUGUGUCGUGUCAGUUUGCCAAACAUCAUCGUUUGUCUAAAGUGUCUCGAGUCAAUAAACAGGCUUCUUCCCC